RNAcentral lists this ribosomal RNA (253 nucleotides) under uncultured bacterium. RNAcentral describes it as "partial 16S ribosomal RNA". It matches the Rfam family "Bacterial small subunit ribosomal RNA", at positions 524 to 776 of the family's 1533-position model. The record is from RNAcentral.
UACGGAGGGUGCAAGCGUUAUCCGGAUUCACUGGGUUUAAAGGGUGCGUAGGAGGGCAGGUAAGUCAGUGGUGAAAUCUCCAAGCUUAACUUGGAAACUGCCGUUGAUACUAUCUGUCUUGAAUAUUGUGGAGGUGAGCGGAAUAUGUCAUGUAGCGGUGGAAUGCUUAGAUAUGACAUAGAACACCAAUUGCGAAGGCAGCUCACUACACAAUCAUUGACUCUGAGGCACGAAAGCGUGGGGAUCAAACAGG